AUUGAACGCUGGCGGCAUGCUUUACACAUGCAAGUCGAACGGGGUGGAGGGCAACCUCCAUUCAGUGGCGAACGGGUGAGUAAUGCAUCGGAACGUGCCUCGUAGUGGGGGAUAACUCGGCGAAAGCCGUGCUAAUACCGCAUAUGCUCUACGGAGGAAAGUGGGGGAUCCGCAAGGACCUCACGCUAUGAGAGCGGCCGAUGUCCGAUUAGCUUGUUGGGGGGUAAUGGCCCACCAAGGCGACGAUCGGUAGCUGGUCUGAGAGGAUGAUCAGCCACACUGGGACUGAGACACGGCCCAGACUCCUACGGGAGGCAGCAGUGGGAAUUUUGGACAAUGGGGCAACCCUGAUCCAGCCAUGCCGCGUGCGGGAAGAAGG
Molecule: ribosomal RNA, 379 nt
Filed under: uncultured bacterium
Lineage: Bacteria
Description: bacterial SSU rRNA
Rfam family: Bacterial small subunit ribosomal RNA
Source: RNAcentral